GGGUUGUGAGGUUAAGCGACUAAGCGUACACGGUGGAUGCCCUGGCAGUCAGAGGCGAUGAAGGACGUGCUAAUCUGCGAUAAGCGUCGGUAAGGUGAUAUGAACCGUUAUAACCGGCGAUUUCCGAAUGGGGAAACCCAGUGUGAUUCGUCACACUAUCAUUAACUGAAUCCAUAGGUUAAUGAGGCGAACCGGGGGAACUGAAACAUCUAAGUACCCCGAGGAAAAGAAAUCAACCGAGAUUCCCCCAGUAGCGGCGAGCGAACGGGGAGGAGCCCAGAGCCUGAAUCAGUGUGUGUGUUAGUGGAAGCGUCUGGAAAGGCGUGCGAUACAGGGUGACAGCCCCGUACACAAAAAUGCACAUACUGUGAGCUCGAUGAGUAGGGCGGGACACGUGGUAUCCUGUCUGAAUAUGGGGGGACCAUCCUCCAAGGCUAAAUACUCCUGACUGACCGAUAGUGAACCAGUACCGUGAGGGAAAGGCGAAAAGAACCCCGGCGAGGGGAGUGAAAAAGAACCUGAAACCGUGUACGUACAAGCAGUGGGAGCCUCUUAAUGGGGUGACUGCGUACCUUUUGUAUAAUGGGUCAGCGACUUAUAUUCUGUAGCAAGGUUAACCGAAUAGGGGAGCCGAAGGGAAACCGAGUCUUAACUGGGCGUUAAGUUGCAGGGUAUAGACCCGAAACCCGGUGAUCUAGCCAUGGGCAGGUUGAAGGUUGGGUAACACUAACUGGAGGACCGAACCGACUAAUGUUGAAAAAUUAGCGGAUGACUUGUGGCUGGGGGUGAAAGGCCAAUCAAACCGGGAGAUAGCUGGUUCUCCCCGAAAGCUAUUUAGGUAGCGCCUCGUGAAUUCAUCUCCGGGGGUAGAGCACUGUUUCGGCAAGGGGGUCAUCCCGACUUACCAACCCGAUGCAAACUGCGAAUACCGGAGAAUGUUAUCACGGGAGACACACGGCGGGUGCUAACGUCCGUCGUGAAGAGGGAAACAACCCAGACCGCCAGCUAAGGUCCCAAAGUCAUGGUUAAGUGGGAAACGAUGUGGGAAGGCCCAGACAGCCAGGAUGUUGGCUUAGAAGCAGCCAUCAUUUAAAGAAAGCGUAAUAGCUCACUGGUCGAGUCGGCCUGCGCGGAAGAUGUAACGGGGCUAAACCAUGCACCGAAGCUGCGGCAGCGACACUAUGUGUUGUUGGGUAGGGGAGCGUUCUGUAAGCCUGUGAAGGUGUACUGUGAGGUAUGCUGGAGGUAUCAGAAGUGCGAAUGCUGACAUAAGUAACGAUAAAGCGGGUGAAAAGCCCGCUCGCCGGAAGACCAAGGGUUCCUGUCCAACGUUAAUCGGGGCAGGGUGAGUCGACCCCUAAGGCGAGGCCGAAAGGCGUAGUCGAUGGGAAACAGGUUAAUAUUCCUGUACUUGGUGUUACUGCGAAGGGGGGACGGAGAAGGCUAUGUUGGCCGGGCGACGGUUGUCCCGGUUUAAGCGUGUAGGCUGGUUUUCCAGGCAAAUCCGGAAAAUCAAGGCUGAGGCGUGAUGACGAGGCACUACGGUGCUGAAGCAACAAAUGCCCUGCUUCCAGGAAAAGCCUCUAAGCAUCAGGUAACAUCAAAUCGUACCCCAAACCGACACAGGUGGUCAGGUAGAGAAUACCAAGGCGCUUGAGAGAACUCGGGUGAAGGAACUAGGCAAAAUGGUGCCGUAACUUCGGGAGAAGGCACGCUGAUAUGUAGGUGAAGUCCCUCGCGGAUGGAGCUGAAAUCAGUCGAAGAUACCAGCUGGCUGCAACUGUUUAUUAAAAACACAGCACUGUGCAAACACGAAAGUGGACGUAUACGGUGUGACGCCUGCCCGGUGCCGGAAGGUUAAUUGAUGGGGUUAGCGGUAACGCGAAGCUCUUGAUCGAAGCCCCGGUAAACGGCGGCCGUAACUAUAACGGUCCUAAGGUAGCGAAAUUCCUUGUCGGGUAAGUUCCGACCUGCACGAAUGGCGUAAUGAUGGCCAGGCUGUCUCCACCCGAGACUCAGUGAAAUUGAACUCACUGUGAAGAUGCAGUGUACCCGCGGCAAGACGGAAAGACCCCGUGAACCUUUACUAUAGCUUGACACUGAACAUUGAGCCUUGAUGUGUAGGAUAGGUGGGAGGCUUUGAAGUGUGGACGCCAGUCUGCAUGGAGCCGGCCUUGAAAUACCACCCUUUAAUGUUUGAUGUUCUAACGUUGGCCCCUGACCGGGGUUGCGGACAGUGUCUGGUGGGUAGUUUGACUGGGGCGGUCUCCUCCUAAAGAGUAACGGAGGAGCACGAAGGUUGGCUAAUCCUGGUCGGACAUCAGGAGGUUAGUGCAAUGGCAUAAGCCAGCUUGACUGCGAGCGUGACGGCGCGAGCAGGUGCGAAAGCAGGUCAUAGUGAUCCGGUGGUUCUGAAUGGAAGGGCCAUCGCUCAACGGAUAAAAGGUACUCCGGGGAUAACAGGCUGAUACCGCCCAAGAGUUCAUAUCGACGGCGGUGUUUGGCACCUCGAUGUCGGCUCAUCACAUCCUGGGGCUGAAGUAGGUCCCAAGGGUAUGGCUGUUCGCCAUUUAAAGUGGUACGCGAGCUGGGUUUAGAACGUCGUGAGACAGUUCGGUCCCUAUCUGCCGUGGGCGCUGGAGAACUGAGGGGGGCUGCUCCUAGUACGAGAGGACCGGAGUGGACGCAUCACUGGUGUUCGGGUUGUCAUGCCAAUGGCACUGCCCGGUAGCUAAAUGCGGAAGAGAUAAGUGCUGAAAGCAUCUAAGCACGAAACUUGCCCCGAGAUGAGUUCUCCCUGACUCCUUGAGAGUCCUGAAGGAACGUUGAAGACGACGACGUUGAUAGGCCGGGUGUGUAAGCGCAGCGAUGCGUUGAGCUAACCGGUACUAAUGAACCGUGAGGCUUAACCUUACAACGCCGAAG
Molecule: ribosomal RNA, 2925 nt
Filed under: Escherichia coli
Lineage: Bacteria; Pseudomonadati; Pseudomonadota; Gammaproteobacteria; Enterobacterales; Enterobacteriaceae
Description: 23S ribosomal RNA
Rfam family: Bacterial large subunit ribosomal RNA
Source: RNAcentral